GAUGAACGCUGGCGGCGUGCCUAAUACAUGCAAGUCGAGCGAACGGACGAGAAGCUUGCUUCUCUGAUGUUAGCGGCGGACGGGUGAGUAACACGUGGAUAAACUAGCUAUAAGACUGGGAUAACUUCGGGAAACCGUAGCUAAUACCGGAUAAUAUUUUGAACCGCAUGGUUCAAAAGUGAAAGACGGUCUUGCUGUCACUUAUAGAUGGAUCCGCGCUGCAUUAGCUAGUUGGUAAGGUAACGGCUUACCAAGGCAACGAUGCAUAGCCGACCUGAGAGGGUGAUCGGCCACACUGGAACUGAGACACGGUCCACACUCCUACGGGAGGCAGCAGUAGGGAAUCUUCCGCAAUGGGCGAAAGCCUGACGGAGCAACGCCGCGUGAGUGAUGAAGGUCUUCUGAUCGUAAAACUCUGUUAUUAGGGAAGAACAUAUGUGUAAGUAACUGUGCACAUCUUGACGUUACCUAAUCAGAAAGCCACGGCUAACUACGUG
This 497-nucleotide ribosomal RNA is filed under the name uncultured bacterium. RNAcentral describes it as "partial 16S ribosomal RNA". It matches the Rfam family "Bacterial small subunit ribosomal RNA", at positions 28 to 507 of the family's 1533-position model. The record is from RNAcentral.